RNAcentral lists this ribosomal RNA (253 nucleotides) under uncultured bacterium. Its description in RNAcentral is "partial 16S ribosomal RNA". It matches the Rfam family "Bacterial small subunit ribosomal RNA", at positions 524 to 776 of the family's 1533-position model. The record is from RNAcentral.
UACGAAGGGGGCUAGCGUUGCUCGGAAUCACUGGGCGUAAAGCGCACGUAGGCGGCUUGUUAAGUCAGGGGUGAAAUCCUGGAGCUCAACUCCAGAACUGCCUUUGAUACUGGCGAGCUUGAGUUCGGGAGAGGUGAGUGGAACUGCGAGUGUAGAGGUGAAAUUCGUAGAUAUUGGGAAGAACACCGGUGGCGAAGGCGGCGACCUGGUCCGAUACUGACGCUGAGGCGCGAAAGCGUGGGGAGCAAACAGG